GGAGCUCUCCUGGAAGCCACGUGACGGACUUGGGCGCUUUCAGCCGAGACUCCACCCGCAGCCAAAAUCUGUCUGAGUCCUUCACACAGACCCUGGGUCUGCUCUGGAACCCCAGCCCGCCCCCCUCCUACACUAUUUCAGAGACGACUGGAUAAUGACAGGCACCAGCCACCCGAAAUCCAGAAGUCAUGUGUGGGGAAAUAGAUCACUCAGCUCCACCGACACCCUACGUCUUUCUCAUCCAUGACCACUGCUUCUUCCCAACUCGCUCCUACUCAUCCUGCAGAAUGGUAGGCCACGGGUUUGCUCUGCAGGUCAUCAUUGAGUCCCCACCGGGAUGAUAGGCCACGGGUUUGCUCUGCAGGUCAUCAGUGAGUCCCCACCCAUGCCAGGAAGUGAGCCAGGCACUGGAGCAUCAACAGUGAAGAAUGGGCAAAGACACCUCCGAUUCCGUGGGACUCACAUUCUCGCUGCGGAGGACAGGCAACAAGCAAAGAAAUCAAUG
This is a non-coding RNA of Oryctolagus cuniculus (rabbit), 505 nucleotides long. Lineage: Eukaryota; Metazoa; Chordata; Mammalia; Lagomorpha; Leporidae. The record is from RefSeq and is a predicted model, not a curated record.